AUCUAUCUGUACAUUGUGAACACUACUGCCACGGAGACCGACUGACACCAUGGAGCAACGGGGGAGGCUGAUCCUGCAAAACAACCAAACCCCUGUGCGUGUGCCCAGACCUGGGGUCAGGGGGAUCAAGGUGCCUGGAGGCCCCUGAGGACCACGUUGGGCAGUGUUUGUUGGAGAGGGAUAUUCAGUUGCACUAGUUACCCCUGUCCUGCUGUAUGCACUAUUUAUGGUGAUCGACGUUAUUAUACCUUUGAUGGAUUGGAGUAUGACUAAGUCAGCGACUGGCAAGCUUACCUGCUCAAGGGCACAGAUAACUCAAAUAUAUCUGUAAUUUCUCAGAACAAAAAGUGCUUUGACAAUGAUAUUGUUUGCUCAAAGAAUAUUUUCAUCACAGUUGGAGACACUGAGAUUUAUUUUAGUGAACCUUCUGAGAAGCAGGGUAAACUAGCAGGUUUGUGUGGAAAUUUUGACAAAUAUACUUCAAAUGAUCUGAUUACAUCAAACAACAUGGAAGUGAGAAAUGCACAGGUAUUUGGAGACA
Falco peregrinus (peregrine falcon) is the source of this 541-nucleotide long non-coding RNA. RefSeq lists it as uncharacterized. The transcript is spliced from 4 exons. The record is from RefSeq and is a predicted model, not a curated record. NCBI's taxonomy places the organism in Eukaryota, Metazoa, Chordata, Aves, Falconiformes, Falconidae.